RNAcentral lists this ribosomal RNA (431 nucleotides) under uncultured bacterium. RNAcentral's name for it is "bacterial SSU rRNA". It matches the Rfam family "Bacterial small subunit ribosomal RNA", at positions 29 to 507 of the family's 1533-position model. The record is from RNAcentral.
AACGAACGCUGGCGGCAGGCUUAACACAUGCAAGUCGAGCGCCCCGCAAGGGGAGCGGCAGACGGGUGAGUAACGCGUGGGAAUCUACCCAUCCCUACGGAACAACUCCGGGAAACUGGAGCUAAUACCGUAUACGCCCUUUGGGGGAAAGAUUUAUCGGGGAUGGAUGAGCCCACGUUGGAUUAGCUAGUUGGUGGGGUAAUGGCCUACCAAGGCAACGAUCCAUAGCUGGUCUGAGAGGAUGAUCAGCCACACUGGGACUGAGACACGGCCCAGACUCCUACGGGAGGCAGCAGUGGGGAAUAUUGGACAAUGGGCGCAAGCCUGAUCCAGCCAUGCCGCGUGAGUGAUGACGGCCCUAGGGUUGUAAAGCUCUUUCACCGGUGAAGAUAAUGACGGUAACCGGAGAAGAAGCCCCGGCUAACUUCGUG